UCAGGGCUGGCUGAGCUAGCCAAGCAUCUCACUUACACCGAGAAGACAUCCA
This 52-nucleotide transfer RNA is filed under the name Clinostomus elongatus. Its description in RNAcentral is "tRNA-Val". The record is from RNAcentral. Lineage: Eukaryota; Metazoa; Chordata; Actinopteri; Cypriniformes; Leuciscidae.